GUGCUUGCUUUGGCAGCACAUAGACUAAAAUUGGAACAUUACAGAGUAGAUUAGCAUGGCCCCUGCACGAGGAUGACACGCAAAUUCGUGAUGCAUUCUGUAUUUUU
Vulpes vulpes (red fox) is the source of this 107-nucleotide small nuclear RNA. The record is from Ensembl. Lineage: Eukaryota; Metazoa; Chordata; Mammalia; Carnivora; Canidae.